CCGACUGCUAUUUGGGUGAGGAUAAGCCAUGCGAGUUGAAUGGGAUACCCAAAGUUCCCAUGGCAAACUGCUCAGUAACACAUGAUCAACUUACCCUAUAGAGGAAAAUAACCUCGGGAAACUGAGGAUAAUAUUCCAUAGUUGAAUCGGCUUGGAAAAGUUUUUCAAUAAAAGGGAUAAGGAAAAUGGUUCUUAUCUGCAAUAGGAUAGGAUCGUGUUCGAUUAUGGUUGUUGGUGAGGUAAAGGCUCACCAAGCCGAUAAUCGAUAGGGGCCGUGAGAGCGGGAGCCCCGAGAUGGGUACUGAGACAACGACCCAGGCCUUACGAGGCGCAGCAGGCGCGAAACCUCCGCAAUACACGAAAGUGUGGCGGGGUUACCCAAAGUGUUCUAUUUAGAGCUGUGGUAGGUGAGUAAUGUCCCCUACUAGAAAGGAGAGGGCAAGGCUGGUGCCAGCCGCCGCGGUAAAACCAGCUCUUCAAGUGGUCGGGAUAAUUAUUGGGCUUAAAGUGUCCGUAGCCGGUUUAGUAAGUUCCUGGUAAAAUCGGGUAGCUUAACUAUCUAUAUGCUAGGAAUACUGCUAUACUAGAGGGCGGGAGAGGUCUGAGGUACUACAGGGGUAGGGGUGAAAUCUUAUAAUCCUUGUAGGACCACCAGUGGCGAAGGCGUCAGACUGGAACGCGCCUGACGGUGAGGGACGAAAGCCAGGGGAGCGAACCGGAUUAGAUACCCGGGUAGUCCUGGCCGUAAACGAUGCAUACUAGGUGAUGGCACGGCCAUGAGCCGUGUCAGUGCCGUAGGGAAACCGUUAAGUGUGCAGCCUGGGAAGUACGGUCGCAAGGCUAAAACUUAAAGGAAUUGGCGGG
Molecule: ribosomal RNA, 864 nt
Filed under: uncultured archaeon
Lineage: Archaea
Description: bacterial SSU rRNA
Rfam family: Archaeal small subunit ribosomal RNA
Source: RNAcentral